AGCUGGGCCCUGCGCGGCGGAGAAACGUGAACCCCGUCAGGUCCGGAAGGAAGCAGCGGUAACGUUCCACUCUGGGUGAUGUAGACAAGUCCAGCUACC
Molecule: signal recognition particle RNA, 99 nt
Filed under: Pseudomonadota bacterium
Lineage: Bacteria; Pseudomonadati; Pseudomonadota
Description: Proteobacteria bacterium (cold seep metagenome) signal recognition particle sRNA small type
Rfam family: Bacterial small signal recognition particle RNA
About the family: The signal recognition particle (SRP) is a universally conserved ribonucleoprotein involved in the co-translational targeting of proteins to membranes. Archaeal SRP consists of a 7S RNA and homologues of the eukaryotic SRP19 and SRP54 proteins. In most bacteria, the SRP consists of a 4.5S RNA and the Ffh protein (a homologue of the eukaryotic SRP54 protein).
Source: RNAcentral